RNAcentral lists this ribosomal RNA (253 nucleotides) under uncultured bacterium. Its description in RNAcentral is "partial 16S ribosomal RNA". It matches the Rfam family "Bacterial small subunit ribosomal RNA", at positions 524 to 776 of the family's 1533-position model. The record is from RNAcentral.
UACGGAGGGUGCAAGCGUUAUCCGGAUUUACUGGGUUUAAAGGGUGCGUAGGCGGCUUGAUAAGUCAGUGGUGAAAGCCCAGAGCUCAACUCUGGAAUUGCCUUUGAUACUGUCAGGCUUGAGUAUGGUUGAAGUAGGCGGAAUGUAGCAUGUAGCGGUGAAAUGCUUAGAUAUGCUACAGAACACCGAUUGCGAAGGCAGCUUGCUAAGCCAUUACUGACGCUGAGGCAAGAAAGCGUGGGGAGCGAACAGG